Non-coding RNA from Caenorhabditis elegans, 21 nucleotides. The record is from Ensembl. Lineage: Eukaryota; Metazoa; Nematoda; Chromadorea; Rhabditida; Rhabditidae.
AUAAACUAUGUAUGUGUUUCA